Molecule: non-coding RNA, 474 nt
Organism: Arachis ipaensis
Lineage: Eukaryota; Viridiplantae; Streptophyta; Magnoliopsida; Fabales; Fabaceae
Source: RefSeq, a predicted model, not a curated record
AAUUAACCGGUUGCGUGUAAUCUUGUCGUUAUACUAAUUCUGUUGGACAGAUACAUUUUCUUGUAUGAGACUAUAACAAGAUCAAAGUUUGAGGUGCUGUCGUCUGAGGAGCCAAUACAUGAGCGAAUAUCACGAAAUGUUGCAUCUGCACUGGCAUCUUUGAAGUAGACUGGGAAUGUUGGGACUUUUUCAAUUCUGUAUUCUAUAGACCCCUUUCUGAGGAUAUAUUUAAAACUUACAAGCAGCAAAAAUUCUACCAAGAAGUGUUUUUUUAAAUAAAAAAAUUAUAUAAAUAAAGCUUAAAACCAAAAGACAGAUGAACAUUUAACUCAUAGAAAUCAUGUUUGGUCUUUGCCAAUUGCGCCAUGUAUUUAACUUGUAUACUUAUCAACCAAACCGAUGUCUUUGGCACACAUUGUUACUGAAUGAUGAAUGAUGAAUAUUUCAUUAACUUAUGUCACAUUGCUCUGGAUC